Molecule: long non-coding RNA, 1110 nt
Organism: Triticum dicoccoides
Lineage: Eukaryota; Viridiplantae; Streptophyta; Magnoliopsida; Poales; Poaceae
Exons: 5
Source: RefSeq, a predicted model, not a curated record
ACCAACCCACAGAUCGCAAAUCCAGACCGCCUACUCUUCCGUGAUCCAACAGCAAGCAGUCAACUCCUAUGUAGAUCUCCGUCAGCUUCUUCCUUCCCCUUUGUCCGCCCCGACUCCCCUGAUCUCGCCGUCCUCCUCUUUCAGAUCCUCCCCUCCCCAUCCACGGUCGCCGCCACCUCCCCGUCCAUGGCCAUCUGCCCCUAUGCGUCCCGCAACCGCCGCGAUGACAACCUCGUCCCCAGAGGCGGGGACUUCCCUUAAGGCGAACCUUGUGCACGCGGCGCCGGUACCGUUGAUGCCGGUCGGGCAGCGGUCAGAUCUGCCACGGCCAAAACUGGCGUCCUCUUCCUCCCUAUCCAGCUUCCUCCCAUGGAUGAGGAGAGGGCUUCGUCAAGGAUCCCAUGAUGGAGGUCAACAUGGGAGGCUGCUUCCUCUGAUCCCAGAUCGACCAUCCGGCGAUGGAGGCCAUGAGAGCCACUUGGGCACAAACAUGGCUGCGCUUCAAGUUGCAGCUUGAUAGAUGCAGGGACGCCGCCAUGGAACAGUCAGGGCCUCCCUUCUCCUCCUGCUUCGUUCGAUCUGCCACUGCCAGCCAUUUCCGGCGCCCCUGCACCACGGCGGUGAAGGACACAAUGAUGAAUUGAACGCAAGAUCCUGCUGGUGAUCCAACAGACGCAAACGCAUCAGAUGCCUAAUAAAGGACUGGCAAAUAAAAUAGGAAUCCAAACUUGCAAAAUUCUCUUUUACAAACCGCUAGUACUACUGGGACUCUAGGUACAACGCAUAAUGUAAUUGCUCCAAAUACGCUCAUACAAGUUGCAACAAUGAAUUCUCGAAUGUUUCGAGUAAUGCAGGAUCCAAAGAUUUAGCUGGAAUGGACUCUAGACAACGGACAAUUUAUAUCUUCGCUCUUAAUUAGGAUGGCACAUUGUAUUUUGAUGGAUAUUGGCUAUGAAAACUUUGAUGUUUGAUGAAUCUAUGUCAUAUAUGCAUUAUUUGAAUCAUGUAAUUGAAUGCAUGUAUAUUUUUUUUCUGGUUACAGUAGGCUAUUACCACAAGCUACGUUUGGUUGCAACAUGUUGGCACCACGAAAAUUAGGGUUGUAUCAAA